Molecule: ribosomal RNA, 600 nt
Filed under: uncultured bacterium
Lineage: Bacteria
Description: bacterial SSU rRNA
Rfam family: Bacterial small subunit ribosomal RNA
Source: RNAcentral
CUGACGCUAAAGCUCGAAGGUGCGGGUAUCGAACAGGAUUAGAUACCCUGGUAGUCCGCACGGUAAACGAUGGAUGCCCGCUGUUGGCGACACACAGUCAGCGGCCAAGCGAAAGCGUUAAGCAUCCCACCUGGGGAGUACGCCGGCAACGGUGAAACUCAAAGGAAUUGACGGGGGCCCGCACAAGCGGAGGAACAUGUGGUUUAAUUCGAUGAUACGCGAGGAACCUUACCCGGGCUUGAACUGCACAGGAAGGAAACAGAGAUGUUGACGCCCUUCGGGGCCUGUGUGGAGGUGCUGCAUGGUUGUCGUCAGCUCGUGCCGUGAGGUGUCGGCUUAAGUGCCAUAACGAGCGCAACCCCUCUCGCCAGUUGCCAUCACUUAGGGUGGGCACUCUGGGGACACUGCCACCGUAAGGUGUGAGGAAGGUGGGGAUGACGUCAAAUCAGCACGGCCCUUACGUCCGGGGCUACACACGUGUUACAAUGGGGAGUACAGAGAGUAGGGUGCCGGCAACGUCGCUCCAAUCAAGAAAGCUCUCCUCAGUUCGGAUUGGGGUCUGCAACCCGACCCCAUGAAGCUGGAUUCGCUAGUAAUCGC